GGGGGCGUAGCUCAGCUGGGAGAGCAUCAGGUUCGCAAUCUGGGGGUCAGGGGUUCGAUCCCCCUCGUCUCCACCA
Molecule: transfer RNA, 76 nt
Filed under: Selenomonas sp.
Lineage: Bacteria; Bacillati; Bacillota; Negativicutes; Selenomonadales; Selenomonadaceae
Also listed under: 1 other name
Description: tRNA-Ala
Rfam family: tRNA
About the family: Transfer RNA (tRNA) molecules are approximately 80 nucleotides in length. Their secondary structure includes four short double-helical elements and three loops (D, anti-codon, and T loops).
Source: RNAcentral